Long non-coding RNA from Homo sapiens (human), 259 nucleotides. RefSeq lists it as uncharacterized. The record is from RefSeq and is a predicted model, not a curated record. The transcript is spliced from 3 exons. NCBI's taxonomy places the organism in Eukaryota, Metazoa, Chordata, Mammalia, Primates, Hominidae.
CCACUGCCGGGGUACCAUGGGACUAUCUCCAGUCCUGAAGAGGCUCCUCUCAGUCACACGGCAGCUCUGGACAAGACUUGUGCAAAGAAAGAUGAUCUCGCUAUGCUGCCUAGGCUGGCCUUGAACUCCUGGGCUCAAGCAAUCCUGCUACACUAUGAGGAGUUGCAAAUACAGGGGGCGUGUAAUCACUCUGUGACUGGUGGCUGCAGGCUCUCCUAAUGGAUAUUUCCUAUUUACAGGGCUACCAACUGCCAAGCAU